CAGUAGCCGCGGGAAUACGAAGGGGGCUAGCGUUGUUCGGAUUUACUGGGCGUAAAGCGCACGUAGGCGGACGCUUAAGUCAGGGGUGAAAUCCCGAGGCUCAACCUCGGAACUGCCCUUGAUACUGGGUGUCUUGAGUCCGGGAGAGGUGAGUGGAACUGCGAGUGUAGAGGUGAAAUUCGUAGAUAUUCGCAAGAACACCAGUGGCGAAGGCGGCUCACUGGACGACUGUUGACGCUGAGGUGCGAAAGCGUGGGGAGCAAACAGGAUUAGAGACCCCAGUAGUCCCUGUCUCUUAUAC
RNAcentral lists this ribosomal RNA (301 nucleotides) under uncultured bacterium. RNAcentral describes it as "partial 16S ribosomal RNA". It matches the Rfam family "Bacterial small subunit ribosomal RNA", at positions 509 to 807 of the family's 1533-position model. The record is from RNAcentral.